AGAAGUCUAAGCCUAAAGUCAUCAUGGUUGAGGUUGAUAGUAUAUCUGCUGGUGAUAGCGGUGGAGCUGCUGAUCUUAUUGCAAGAUUCCUAUAGUUUGCAUUUGUAAUGGCAGUUAUAGCAGGAAGCUGAAGAGCACUAUAAAUUACCUAUUUGGUACUCAACUUCAGGAAACCAACAAAUUAGCAGGUCAUUUCAUGCCACCAUAUUCUGAUGAUUUAUGAAAGACAUGAUUAGUUUUCUUACUGUUCUCUGUUAUAUCCUUAUUACCCUUACUGCUGACUGUGACAACUAACAUGCUGUUCUCAAUUGCUUUCUGGGACUCAUUUUAUCAGAUACAAGUCCGCUUGCAAUUUUUGGGAGAAUAAACAGUUCCUUUGGGUUCAUCGCUCGGUUUUGUCCCUGCUAUGCUUACUGCUCCUACAUGGCUCUUCAGGGUUAUGGAUGGAGUGCGUUAUUUCGACGGUCCUCUAUUUUUUUUGUUGCGUGUGCCUUCAGGUCCAUCAGGUAUAAUUGUGCUUCACCUCCCUUUCGUUGUUUUCUUUUAUCUUGGUGUUUUCUCUUUUGUUUAAUUCAUUGUUGUAUCGCUCAAGGGCAUCUUGAUUAGUUUGAAUUGUGCUUUUUUAGCUAGAUGAAUUUAUAAAUGGUUGCCCUUUUCUGUUGAUUAAGUGUCUAUGUGCAGAGGUUCAUCUCCCCCUUUUCAUUCUGCGGCAUUUGUUUUUCACUUAGUUUACAUAUGUUUGUGUCUGGUAAUGUACUCUUCCUCAUGGAUUCUUUGGGUUCAUGUUCUUUCAGUGCUUUAGGAAUCUUCAGUUCCAAUGGAAAAUAGGAUGUAUCAUGCAUGCAAAGAUGAGAGGAUAGUUGAUCCAAUUUCCUUGUGCUACAAAGUUAUUUGCCAUAUUCUUAUUUUUUAAAUGUGGAAUGCACAGCUUGGUUCACAGCUACUUAAUCUUGAAAAAUAAAAGGAAAAUAAUUUUGAGGGAAAAUAUAAAUCUAAACCAAUAAGGAGGCUGGGAUGAUAUUUGGAUUAAACAACAAGCUUGCUACAGCCAGUCAAGUGCUCAGUGACAAUUAGCUUGUGGACUGGUUCUUUAGUACCUGGUUAGAUCUCAUGUGUGCUAAAGGAGAAGAUUGGAUAAACCCAUGAGUUUGAAGCUCAGCUCCAUAAAUAUUUCCCCCUUGGUCAUUUAUGUACAUAACGGUGUGAUACGACACCUAUAGAAAUUGCUACUGAUACUUGGAAGGUCAUAUUUACACUAAUAUGCAGAUGCGGCUUUAUCAUUUUGAACCAUGUAUCAUGUUAGCGUACUGUUAUUAUCUUGUUUAUCCAUUCUUCUUUGUGUAAACUUCAGAGAUAUCUGUAUUAUAGUGAAAGAAUCACUGAACUGUUCACUUGAAACUCUUUGAAACUUUGAGAGCAGUGUUUAUUUACCUUACUUAGCAAUUGUAAGGGUAUCAUGUUAAACUACUUGCUGAAAUUCUGUAUUCUAUUACUAUUAAAGGUCACCCGCAGGCAGAUCAUUCCAGUACCACUCUACCGGUGUUUGGCCUGAAUCUGAAUAAUUAAAUCUCAAAACACAGUUACACAACAUAAGUUGGAAGUAAUGUGAGCUUGCUUGUUCGGUUAUGCUUGAUAUAUGAUGCCAAGAUUCGUCUUUGUCUCCUCUGUGCACCCAUCGUCUUCUAACCUCCUCUCAUCAUCAGGUAUAAGGCGAGUUGUGUCCCUGGUAGAGGUGCAGAUCAAGGAGGUCAACAAAUGGGAUGAUGUUGGGUGACGUUCACUAAGGAGGAAAAAGGUGUAGGGGUCGUUGUUUUUUUGGCGAUGGCAGCGGCAUACUUCCUUGAGCGAAGAAAGGAAUCCCCAGCCUGAAGCUUCGCACAGGUAUGUCUGAGCGUCUUAUUUGUUAGUGUUGCCAGCUCUGGGAAAUGCAUGCCGAGUAGUUGUUGGCUUGUUGCAUGUAUGUUAUUGCUACAGUAUUAAUUUUUUUUGCUGAGAAUACAAACUGUGAAGCCACUAUUUUCAUACUGUAUGUUAUUGCACAGGUAUGUCUGAGCGUCUUAUUCUCACAACAGUUAAUUCUAAGGCCAUUCAUAUCAUUGCAGAUUUUGCCUAUUCUCUGAGAUGGAUGAUGAUGAGCGGUGCAACCGAAAAUUCAGAGCUGAGCUUUACACACUUCAGUGGGUAAGUGAAGUUCCAGUUAAUCUUCUUUCCCCUAUUACCGCUCUAUUGUACAGAGAGCACUGAGUUUACAUUAGCUAAAUGUUAGAUUGGAAUGCAGGAGUGGCAUGACAACACCAAGGUAGAGACCUGAAGAGAAGCACAGGGACAGACCAAGGAAACUAGAACCACGCUGUCGUGAUGUGGGCCGUGUCGUCUUCGUCCAUCUCCAUGGAGGUAUAUAUAAAUAUAUAGGUUAGGUAUAGGAAAUGAGACCAUCUCCAUGGAACUCUGACUGAUGUGUAAUGUCCUCAUAGGACCUGACCGACCAAACUAAACAUUCACUCAUAUUUUUCAUUUUCUCACUUAUCAUUAAUACGAAUUUUUUUGUUUAAAACUUAAAAGUCAAACCUGGAUUUACCGCUUGUGUCUACUCCAGUGUGUUAUAUUCUUCAGAAUGUCUUUAUGAGCAAGAACGGAUCAAUCAUAAAUUUUCAGAACAUCUCUAUUGAGUUUUUCCCUUCUAUAUCCUAUCUUCUCAGCACUUCUAGAAAG
Molecule: long non-coding RNA, 2712 nt
Filed under: Triticum aestivum (bread wheat)
Lineage: Eukaryota; Viridiplantae; Streptophyta; Magnoliopsida; Poales; Poaceae
Description: long non-coding RNA (TAES_LNC010281)
Source: RNAcentral